UGCAGUCGCACGAGAAACGGCCUUCGGGCCCGAGUACAGUGGCGAACGGGUGAGUAACGCGUGAGUGACGUGCCGCGAAGUGGAGGACAACUCACCGAAAGGUGGGCUAACACUCCAUAACACGCCGAGGCUAGGUCCUGGGCGUCAAAGGCCUUCGGGUCGCUUCGCGAUCGGCUCGCGCCCCAUUAGCUGGACGGUAGGGUAAAGGCCUACCGUGGCGAUGAUGGGUAGCUGGUCUGAGAGGAUGAUCAGUCACACUGGGACUGAGACACGGCCCAGACUCCUACGGGAGGCAGCAGUGGGGAAUCUUGCGCAAUGGGGGAAACCCUGACGCAGCGACGCCGCGUGUGUGAAGAAGGCCUUCGGGUCGUAAAGCACUGUCGGGCGGGAAGCAGAUCCUGUGGAGAACCCACAGGGUGUUGACGGUACCGCCAAAGGAAGCGCCGGCCAACUCCGUGCCAGCAGCCGCGGUAAGACGGAGGGCGCAAGCGUUGUUCGGAAUCAUUGGGCGUACAGGGCGCGCAGGCGGCCUGUCGGGUCCGAUGUGAAAUCCCGGGGCUCAACCCCGGAAGCGCAUCGGAAACUGGCAGGCUUGAGUCCGGGAGGGGCCAGUGGAAUUCCUGGAGUAGGGGUGAAAUCCGUAGAUAUCAGGAGGAACACCGGAGGUGAAAACGACUGGCUGGACCGGGACUGACGCUGA
RNAcentral lists this ribosomal RNA (700 nucleotides) under uncultured delta proteobacterium. Its description in RNAcentral is "bacterial SSU rRNA". It matches the Rfam family "Bacterial small subunit ribosomal RNA", at positions 56 to 749 of the family's 1533-position model. The record is from RNAcentral. Lineage: Bacteria; Deltaproteobacteria.